AGUUGCGAUCUACGUCGGCGUCCGCGCCGCCGAUAACCGUAGUAAUUCGUAGGGCUAAUACGUGCGAAGCGCCGAAGCCGCGAGGCGACGGCGUUCUCGCCGGAUGUAGGAACCGACCCGGGGACCGCCGGGGCAACCCGGCGCCCCCGAGACGGGGCGAACCACGGUGAAAUGACGGAUCGUCGGCCCCGCGCCGGCGACUCGCCGAAUGAGUUUCUGACCUAUCAACUCGAGACGGCGGGGUAGAGGCCCGCCGCGGUAACGACGGGUAACGGGGAAUCAGGGUUCGAUUCCGGAGAGGGAGCCCGAGAAACGGCUACCACUUCCAAGGAAGGCAGCAGGCGCGCAACUUACCCUAAUCUCGAUUCGAGGAGGUAGUGACAAGAAAUACCGAUGCGGGACCCUACGGGUGCCGCGUUCGGAAUGAGUACGAUUCGAACCACA
This 444-nucleotide ribosomal RNA is filed under the name uncultured eukaryote. RNAcentral describes it as "bacterial SSU rRNA". It matches the Rfam family "Eukaryotic small subunit ribosomal RNA", at positions 108 to 534 of the family's 1831-position model. The record is from RNAcentral.